GACGAACGCUGGCGGCGUGCUUAACACAUGCAAGUCGAACGGAAAGGCCUCUUUCGGGGGGUACUCGAGUGGCGAACGGGUGAGUAACACGUGAGUAACCUGCCCUUGACUUUGGGAUAACUUCAGGAAACUGGGGCUAAUACCGGAUAGGAGCUCCUGCUGCAUGGUGGGGGUUGGAAAGUUUCGGCGGUUGGGGAUGGACUCGCGGCUUAUCAGCUUGUUGGUGGGGUAGUGGCUUACCAAGGCUUUGCCGGGUAGCCGGCCUGUGAGGGUGACCGGCCACAUUGGGACUGAGAUACGGCCCAGGCUCCUACGGGAGGCAGCAGUGGGGAAUAUUGCACAAUGGGUGGAAGCCUGAUGCAGCAGCGCCGUGUGCGGGAUGACGGCCUUCGGGUUGUAAACCGCUUUCGCUCAUGACGAAGCUUUGUGUGACGGUAGUGGGUAAAGAAGCACCGGCUAACUACGUG
Molecule: ribosomal RNA, 467 nt
Filed under: uncultured bacterium
Lineage: Bacteria
Description: partial 16S ribosomal RNA
Rfam family: Bacterial small subunit ribosomal RNA
Source: RNAcentral